CCUACGGGAGGCAGCAGUGGGGAAUAUUGCGCAAUGGGCGAAAGCCUGACGCAGCGACGCCGCGUGAGGGAUGAAGGUCUUCGGAUCGUAAACCUCUGUCAGCAGGGCAGCACGGUCACUGUGCUAAUCAGCAGUGAAUUGACGGUACCUGCAAAGGAAGCAUCGGCUAACUCCGUGCCAGCAGCCGCGGUAAUACGGAGGGUGCGAGCGUUAAUCGGAAUUACUGGGCGUAAAGCGCUCGUAGGCGGUAUGUCAAGUCAAGGGUGAAAUCCCCGCGCUGAACGUGGGAACUGCCUUUGAAACUGGCAAACUGGAGUGUGUGAGAAGAUAGUGGAAUAGCAGGAGGAGAAGUGAAAUCCGUAGAUAUCUGAAGGAACAACAGUGGCGAAGGCGACGAUCUGGCACAUAACUGACGAUGAGGAGCGAAAGCGUGGGUAGCAAACAGGAUUAGAUACCCGUGUAGUC
RNAcentral lists this ribosomal RNA (465 nucleotides) under uncultured bacterium. RNAcentral's name for it is "partial 16S ribosomal RNA". It matches the Rfam family "Bacterial small subunit ribosomal RNA", at positions 338 to 795 of the family's 1533-position model. The record is from RNAcentral.